This 460-nucleotide ribosomal RNA is filed under the name uncultured bacterium. RNAcentral describes it as "partial 16S ribosomal RNA". It matches the Rfam family "Bacterial small subunit ribosomal RNA", at positions 28 to 523 of the family's 1533-position model. The record is from RNAcentral.
GAUGAGCGCUGGCGGCGUGCCUAAUACAUGCAAGUCGAGCGGUAAGGCCCCUUCGGGGGUACACGAGCGGCGGACGGCUGAGUAACACGUAGGAACGUACCCCAAAGUGAGGGAUAACUGCUCGAAAGAGUAGCUAAUACCGCAUGUGAUCCACGGAUUAAAGCUUUAUGCGCUUUGGGAACGGCCUGCGUCCGAUUAGCUUGUUGGUGAGGUAAUAGCUCACCAAGGCGAUGAUCGGUAGCUGGUCUGAGAGGAUGAUCAGCCAGACUGGGACUGAGACACGGCCCAGACUCCUACGGGAGGCAGCAGUAGGGAAUUUUCCACAAUGGGCGAAAGCCUGAUGGAGCAACGCCGCGUGCAGGAUGAAUGCCUUAGGGUUGUAAACUGCUUUUAAUAGUGACGAUUAUGACGGUACCGUAUGAAUAAGCACCGGCUAACUACGUGCCAGCAGCCGCGGUAA